Molecule: unclassified non-coding RNA, 235 nt
Filed under: Hevea brasiliensis (rubber tree)
Lineage: Eukaryota; Viridiplantae; Streptophyta; Magnoliopsida; Malpighiales; Euphorbiaceae
Source: RNAcentral
UUGCUGCACACAACAACGAUCUUGCCGCGGCCCAGAGCUUUGGAUUGAAGACGGCCUUCGUGCCGCGUCCGACAGAAUACGGCCCCCAUCAGAGCCGCGACUUCAGGCCGGAGGGAAGCUGGGACUACGUCGUGAAGGACUUCAACGAUCUGGCGGACAAGCUCGGCUGCUAGAAAAUGCUUCGCCCUUCGAGGCCCAUAGCUGUUCGAAGAACGGCGUUCUUUCGAACGCCUAU